This is a microRNA precursor of Cercocebus atys (sooty mangabey), 77 nucleotides long. The record is from Ensembl. NCBI's taxonomy places the organism in Eukaryota, Metazoa, Chordata, Mammalia, Primates, Cercopithecidae.
UUAGGGGAGGUGGAUGAGUAGGGGCGGGCAGGGGAUUGGCUAAGAACCUGACUCUUGCACUCUGGCCUUCUCCCAGG